Molecule: ribosomal RNA, 447 nt
Filed under: uncultured bacterium
Lineage: Bacteria
Description: bacterial SSU rRNA
Rfam family: Bacterial small subunit ribosomal RNA
Source: RNAcentral
CCAGACUCCUACGGGAGGCAGCAGUCGAGAAUCAUUCACAAUGGGGGAAACCCUGAUCCAGCGACGCCGCGUGAGUGAAGAAGUAUUUCGGUAUGUAAAGCUCUAUCAGCAGGGAAGAAAGAAAUGACGGUACCUGACUAAGAAGCCCCGGCUAACUACGUGCCAGCAGCCGCGGUAAUACGUAGGGGGCAAGCGUUAUCCGGAUUUACUGGGUGUAAAGGGAGCGUAGACGGCGAUGCAAGUCUGAAGUGAAAGGCGGGGGCCCAACCCCCGGACUGCUUUGGAAACUGUAUGGCUGGAGUGCAGGAGAGGUAAGUGGAAUUCCUAGUGUAGCGGUGAAAUGCGUAGAUAUUAGGAGGAACACCAGUGGCGAAGGCGGCUUACUGGACUGUAACUGACGUUGAGGCUCGAAAGCGUGGGGAGCAAACAGGAUUAGAUACCCCAGUA